AUACGUAGGGGGCGAGCGUUGUCCGGAAUGAUUGGGCGUAAAGGGCGCGUAGGCGGCCCGGUAAGUCUGGAGUGAAAGUCCCGCAUUCAAUGUGGGAAUUGCUUUGGAUACUGCAGUGCUAGAGUGCGGAAGAGGUAAGUGGAAUUCCCAGUGUAGCGGUGAAAUGCGUAGAGAUUGGGAGGAACACCAGUGGCGAAGGCGACUUACUGGGCCGUAACGGACGCUGGGGCGCGAAAGCGUGGGGAGCAAACAGGAUUAGAUACCCUUGUAGUCCACGCUGUAAACGAUGAAUACUAGGUGUAGGGGGUAUCGACUCCCUCUGUGCCGCAGUUAACACAAUAAGUAUUCCGCCUGGGGAGUACGGCCGCAAGGUUGAGACUCAAAUGAAUUGACGGGG
This 397-nucleotide ribosomal RNA is filed under the name uncultured bacterium. RNAcentral's name for it is "partial 16S ribosomal RNA". It matches the Rfam family "Bacterial small subunit ribosomal RNA", at positions 523 to 918 of the family's 1533-position model. The record is from RNAcentral.